CUCACCUCCAAAACACCUCAUUCUCCCCUGGGGUUGACAUCUCUACGGUGACUCACCUCCAAAACACCUCAUUCCCCCCUGACUCCCCUGAGGUUGACAUCUCUACGGUGACUCACCUCCAAAACACCUCAUUCGCCCCUGACUCCCCUGAGGUUGACAUCUCUACGGUGACUCACCUCCAAAACACCUCAUUCCCCCCUGACUCCCCUGAGGUUGACAUCUCUACGGUGACUCACCUCCAAAACACCUCAUUCCCCCCUGACUCCCCUGGGGUUGACAUUCACAUUGUUUCAUUAAUCUGAAACAACUUUCUGC
Long non-coding RNA from Oncorhynchus tshawytscha (Chinook salmon), 315 nucleotides. NCBI's taxonomy places the organism in Eukaryota, Metazoa, Chordata, Actinopteri, Salmoniformes, Salmonidae. The record is from Ensembl.